AAGAUAUUAGUAAACACAUUACAUAACUUUGUCAAAGUUAAAUCACUGGUGAAACCCCUGUAUAUCUUC
Molecule: transfer RNA, 69 nt
Filed under: Fukomys damarensis (Damara mole-rat)
Lineage: Eukaryota; Metazoa; Chordata; Mammalia; Rodentia; Bathyergidae
Description: tRNA-Asp
Source: RNAcentral